RNAcentral lists this long non-coding RNA (1055 nucleotides) under Dermacentor andersoni. RNAcentral's name for it is "uncharacterized LOC126535556". Lineage: Eukaryota; Metazoa; Arthropoda; Arachnida; Ixodida; Ixodidae. The record is from RNAcentral.
UCAUCGGGCUAGUACCGGAAUGUCGCUGGGGGGUCUCAAAUCGUGUCAUGCAUUUACCUCAAUUUCUCGGUUACUAAGGCUCUGUUCGCGAUUAUAUUGACGCCUUAGACGUUCUAGAACAUUGCUCUACCACUUUAACUUGACUUUCUGGUAACCUUUAGUGUCCCUUUAACAUUGCGUGCGCACUUUGGUUUGUAGGCCCACUUUUUUUUCAUCUCAUUCCUUUCUUCGGACCUGCACCCCCAGGUAUGGUGUCUGUAAAAUAUUAUACUUCAGCUUAAACAACAACAGAAAGAAAUAACUGCUGCUUUAUUCAGCGAGCACCAUGUAAAUGCCGAGUGCCGCGACAAACACCCAUAACCAUGCCAGGCUAUAGCAGACGACGCUCGGACGCUUGGCGCGGAGGUCGAUGGCAGCGCUGCGGUGGCGGGAACGACAGCGGGCUAAAUGGUGCGCAUAGGCUAGGAGUUGGGGCACUUAAAGAGGAUCUAUAAACGUUAUUGCGGCGGCCCGGGCGGUCGGUGUGGUACUGAUCGUUUGAUCAUAUUUACGCGGUGCUUAGAGAACAUGUGCUCCUUUUUUUGUGUGGAUUAACGAUCACUAAGCCCUGGGUCCUGUGCAACGCUAUUAACUCGCUGUAUGUUUCUUGCGGUGCGCCGUUGUUGAUUAUCGUAGUGUGGUCCACACGCGCUUUCUUUGUGCCCGGCUCAUGAGAAACUUGUGUACUCUCGCCGCUCCCGCAUCGGGUCACAGUGCACGGAAGAAUGUGCUGAUAGUUGUGCUAUCGCGUGCUGUAGUUCACCGCAAUUCAACACUACGCUGGACGGACUGUUGGUGCAGUCGAUGCGGCGUGAACGGACACGAAGGAGCGCUCGCCUCGGAAGGGAUGUCACAAUUUCCAGAGACGGAGGCAUCUCUGCACCACAAAGGAGACUGCGGCACUAUGCAGCCUGAACAGCACGACAAAGCAUCUGAUCUGCCUGCUUUGACAAGAUGUGGCUGGGCCUACAGAAAGAGUGUAAGCAGACUACUGUGUUGCUGAUCAGUGCUGGUGC